UGCCCUGUCGUCUAAUUGGUAGGACGCAAGAUUCUGGUUCUUGUAGUUUUGGUUCGAGUCCAAGCGGGGCAGCCA
RNAcentral lists this transfer RNA (75 nucleotides) under Candidatus Omnitrophota bacterium. RNAcentral's name for it is "tRNA-Gln". It matches the Rfam family "tRNA". Rfam says of the family: Transfer RNA (tRNA) molecules are approximately 80 nucleotides in length. Their secondary structure includes four short double-helical elements and three loops (D, anti-codon, and T loops). The record is from RNAcentral. Lineage: Bacteria; Pseudomonadati; Candidatus Omnitrophota.